CUUGCAGCGCCCGGCCCCGUGUCGCUCCUAUAUAUCUUCCUCGAUCAACACGCCCGCGCACCUCUGCGCCGCUCCACUUGCUAACGCACCGUGCACCGACCCGCACUCGCGUUUCGCCGGCCGGCACUGCUGACGGGACCCCACCGCUUCCUGAAACGCGCGCGUCUUCCGACCAUUGUGUGUCAACAGGAAAGUUCGCGCCCGCUCCAUUCGUCGUCAGCAGCCGCCCCAAAGUUAGACCGCCCCAGCGAGCUAAGACUUCUGGCGUGCAGGUCCUUCAACGUUUCCAGCCUCGUUCUGCGCUCGCCGAUCAUUUUUUUCUUUCUUUUUGGGGUGUGCCCAGGAGCGUGUGUGUGCAAGUGGUGCGUGUGUGCCUUGGCAUGCGGCUGUCGCGCGCUUAAUUAAAAGUAGACCCCGGUUCUCACGGUCUUCCUCUGUCGUCACAGAGUCUCCGUACAGCGCAAGUUGGGCGUGAAUUCCAGAGGACGCUCUUACAGGGCGGCGCCGCCACUGUUUGCCACUUGCUCGCUCCCCUGCACUCAUCAACCAGGGGAUCCUGCAGUGGACCGUGAGAAUCUGAGCCGGCCGCUCCUGUCUGUCGCCAUGGGCCAGGUGGAACGAGCGAGCGGUGCCUCUCAAUCGCCGACGUUUCUCCUGCUGUUGUCACUGGCGUGGCUGGCGCUGGUGCCCGAUAUCGGCUCGGCGGCGUUGUUUCUCAACAGCGCUCGCCAGUGGUGCAGUGUGUGCCCUCCUUCCGGUCAGCCGCUCGGUAAUCGCUACGCCAUGUCGGCCUUCUGCUGCAGCCUCUUCAACACCUGCUGCCCGCAAGGCACCGGACUCAACCCUUACCGGCGAUGGCAAUGGAGUUAGCUGUAUUCGUAUUUCUCAUCGUAAUUUUUUUCACUCAUCCUUUUUUUUUUCUCUCGUACAUUCUUACACUGUA
Dermacentor albipictus is the source of this 943-nucleotide non-coding RNA. NCBI's taxonomy places the organism in Eukaryota, Metazoa, Arthropoda, Arachnida, Ixodida, Ixodidae. The record is from RefSeq and is a predicted model, not a curated record.